GUACCUUCUGGUGCUUUCGGCACUGUCUGUGUCUCAUCAAAUCCCCUGCCCAGCUCCUCCUCCUUGAAAGGUUUAUAAGUCAAUUCCACAACAAUCUGCCCUCGUGACUUCUCAUUUUGAACAUCAUUGGGAUCCAAAGUUUUUCGGAGGUCAAGAGUAACACGUUUAGGCUCUUCAGGGGAAACUUCUUUUAAAGGGAUCACAUUCAUACCCAUCUUGUCAUGCUUCCCAACCUAAGAAAAGAUAAAAAAACAAUGUUCAGUUCAUAUAUCGAAAAGAAAAAACUAUAGGAUAAAGCUUUCAGCUCAAGAAGUUUACCUGCUCCCAGUCAUAAACAUUAAUCUGUAAAACCUGGGACUCUGGAUCUUUGACUACCAUAUUAAAUUCUUCAUUCCAUUCUGGAUUUAAGUUCUUGUGCUUUACAGUAGUCUUUUUCGAUGGCAACUUAUCCUCAGUAAGCUUCAGCUUCACAUAAGGGUCAGAUGCACCAAGAAGAUCUUUCUUCUUUAACUUCAUCGCUUGCACAACCUUUACAUGUAAAAUUCCAACAGGCCUCCUCAUAGCUCUAAGAUUCCCAAUAACAUUCACAAGAAAAAACAGAAAUGAGUUAAAAGGUAAUAUACCAUUAUAUUAUGAAAAUAUACUUUAGAGUAAAGAAGAAACAUACUUUACUGGAUCCAAUACUUGAACUUCCAGGGUUUUGGGCCAUAGAUACAUGUUUGCAACCUGAUCUUUGAUGAGGUCCUGAAAACAACACUCUAUAAAUUAGUAUCAUAGCCAUAAAACCUUCAACAAAACAUUCACUAGUUAAUGACAAUAACAUAAAUAUAGAUAUGUUACAAAAGGUAAUGUUUUGCUACUAUAAUACCAUAAACCAGAAAUACACCUUCCAGACUGAGAAUGCCAUAUACGGGCAACAUAAUGUAAUCACCAGUUUUCCAAAUGAUAGAAUUUCAUAAAAAGAUGGUACAGACGAAAGAAUGGAAGGCAUUGAAAAUAGCCAUCAAAAUCUUUCAAGUUUCAAUUCAAUAGACACACCCAAUCAAAUUUUGUUUGUAUAAACAGCAAGAGCCUGAAUAUGAGAUUUCAACUUUACAAGAGAAGAAAAUGUCCAGAUCAAACUAAAGAUGGCUUCUGGCAAAAAGGGUAACAACUAGCUGACACUACUGGCCAUCUUCUAUAAGACACAACAACUUUACUCUCAAUGACCUGGAAAGAAACACUUAACAAGCCAACAAAACAUUCAACCUCAGACUUCUACAUUACAUUUCUUAUUUCUUCAUGUUCAUAUCAUUACAAACACAACAGUUCUUAUUUCUUGGGCAAUCGAAUUUCUAUCUUUCAUGCACAUACAGAAACCAGCUUGAUACAAGAUAUACAUAAAACAGUGCAUACAAAAAUCAACGUCUUCACUAAGAUAUUAUAUAUUUCAAAAUAAGAUCCUCCUGCGAAAACAGUGGUCAAUUUCUACAGCGGGAAAUUAUUUAUUAUGCAGGAAAGUGACCACUCCCCCUUUAAAAUGAGUGGAAGAUGAAAGUCAGCAAUUUUAUGCCUCAAAAAAUUAGGAUAGGAAGGCAAACAAAACAAUAAAAAAGAUAGGUUUUUUACCUGAACAAUCCUGUAGGCGCCAGGAAUAGACAUAAGAUCAGCCCCUACAAGCAUUGGGAUCCAAAGUUUUUCGGAGGUCAAGAGUAACACGUUUAGGCUCUUCAGGGGAAACUUCUUUUAAAGGGAUCACAUUCAUACCCAUCUUGUCAUGCUUCCCAACCUAAGAAAAGAUAAAAAAACAAUGUUCAGUUCAUAUAUCGAAAAGAAAAAACUAUAGGAUAAAGCUUUCAGCUCAAGAAGUU
This 1850-nucleotide long non-coding RNA is filed under the name Lotus japonicus. RNAcentral describes it as "long non-coding RNA (LJAP_LNC000120)". Lineage: Eukaryota; Viridiplantae; Streptophyta; Magnoliopsida; Fabales; Fabaceae. The record is from RNAcentral.